This 427-nucleotide ribosomal RNA is filed under the name uncultured bacterium. Its description in RNAcentral is "bacterial SSU rRNA". It matches the Rfam family "Bacterial small subunit ribosomal RNA", at positions 30 to 460 of the family's 1533-position model. The record is from RNAcentral.
AUUGAACGCUGGCGGCAUGCCUUACACAUGCAAGUCGAACGGCAGCACGGGAGCAAUCCUGGUGGCGAGUGGCGAACGGGUGAGUAAUAUAUCGGAACGUGCCCAGACGUGGGGGAUAACGUAGCGAAAGCUACGCUAAUACCGCAUGUGAUCUGUGGAUGAAAGCGGGGGAUCGCAAGACCUCGCGCGUUUGGAGCGGCCGAUAUCAGAUUAGGUAGUUGGUGGGGUAAAGGCCUACCAAGCCUACGAUCUGUAGCUGGUCUGAGAGGACGACCAGCCACACUGGGACUGAGACACGGCCCAGACUCCUACGGGAGGCAGCAGUGGGGAAUUUUGGACAAUGGGCGCAAGCCUGAUCCAGCAAUGCCGCGUGCAGGAUGAAGGCCUCGGUUGUAACUGCUUUGUACGGUAACGAAACGGUACUUUC